ACGCACGCUGGCGGCGUGCUUCACCCCUGCAAGUCGCACGGUGAAGCGCCUUCCUUUUUGGUGGGUGUGGAUGAGUGGCGAACGGGUGAGUAACACGUGAGUAACCUGCCCCCUUCUUCUGGAUAACCGCAUGAAAGUGUGGCUAAUACGGGAUAUUCUGGGUCUGUCGCAUGAUGGGUCUGGGAAAGAUAUUGUUUCGGUGGGGGAUGGGCUCGCGGCCUAUCAGCUUGUUGGUGGGGUGAUGGCCUACCAAGGCGGUGACGGGUAGCCGGCCUGAGAGGGUGGACGGUCACACUGGGGCAGAGGCACGGCCCAGACUCCGACGGGAGGCAGCAGGGGGGAAUAUUGGACAAUGGGCGCAAGCCUGAUGCAGCGACGCCGCGUGAGGGAUGGAGGCCUUCGGGUUGUGAACCUCUUUCGCCAGUGAAGCAGGCCUGCCUCGUUUGUGGGUGGGUUGACGGUAGCUGGAUAAGAAGCGCCGGCUAACUACGUG
RNAcentral lists this ribosomal RNA (493 nucleotides) under uncultured bacterium. RNAcentral's name for it is "partial 16S ribosomal RNA". It matches the Rfam family "Bacterial small subunit ribosomal RNA", at positions 29 to 507 of the family's 1533-position model. The record is from RNAcentral.